Long non-coding RNA from Ceratina calcarata, 588 nucleotides. RefSeq lists it as uncharacterized. Lineage: Eukaryota; Metazoa; Arthropoda; Insecta; Hymenoptera; Apidae. The record is from RefSeq and is a predicted model, not a curated record. The transcript is spliced from 2 exons.
UCGAGUUGCUGGUUCGCCCGAGCGCAAAAGGCCUCGAGUACAAAGGGUUAAAUUAACGAACGCUAGGAAACCUGUCAUUGAAAACACACCACAUGAAAAAACGUAUGCAAAUAAGAUGUGAAGCGAGCGACUGGAAAAUCUAUCAGUUACUGAAUAUUAUUUAUAAGAGUUAAUCGUCGACGGAGCUUAAUAGGUAUUUUCUAUUAAAAGGAAGCCAAUUAAGCCGAGAGACCUUGUCCCGUCGCGACUCUAUUUUGGAUUUCAAUGUAAGACCGAUGCUAUCGAAGCCGGGCAGGAAAUUCUGCUCGGGACUCGACGAGAUUGAAUUUAGGCUGGGAUUCGAAAUAGAUGAAGGAAGACGCGACAGAAGGACUCGUACUCCGGCGACGACGAGGACGAUUCAACUUGAAAUUCUCGGAUGUCCCGAGUUCCCUCUGUAUCGAGCUCGACGUAAAUUAAAGAAAAUCCAUCGGUCAUUUAAUCGAUUCUACUUCGAUGUUUCUCGGAUUUGGAAAAAGUUUCAACGAGUCUUGAAACUACUUAAAGAAACUGGAGGGGAACUGCGUAAAUAAAGCAGAUGGCGAAAAA